This 71-nucleotide transfer RNA is filed under the name Ignavibacteria bacterium. Its description in RNAcentral is "tRNA-Cys". It matches the Rfam family "tRNA". From Rfam's summary of the family: Transfer RNA (tRNA) molecules are approximately 80 nucleotides in length. Their secondary structure includes four short double-helical elements and three loops (D, anti-codon, and T loops). Further hydrogen bonds mediate the characteristic L-shaped molecular structure. tRNAs have two regions of fundamental functional importance: the anti-codon, which is responsible for specific mRNA codon recognition, and the 3' end, to which the tRNAs corresponding amino acid is attached (by aminoacyl-tRNA synthetases). tRNAs cope with the degeneracy of the genetic code in two manners: having more than one tRNA (with a specific anti-codon) for a particular amino acid; and 'wobble' base-pairing, i.e. permitting non-standard base-pairing at the 3rd anti-codon position. Lineage: Bacteria; Pseudomonadati; Ignavibacteriota; Ignavibacteria. The record is from RNAcentral. RNAcentral also lists the same sequence under 1 other name.
GGUGCCGUAGCCAAGUGGUUAGGCAGCGGUCUGCAAAACCGCCAACGUAGGUUCGAUUCCUAUCGGCACCU